Molecule: ribosomal RNA, 253 nt
Filed under: uncultured bacterium
Lineage: Bacteria
Description: partial 16S ribosomal RNA
Rfam family: Bacterial small subunit ribosomal RNA
Source: RNAcentral
UACAGAGGUCCCGAGCGUUGUUCGGAUUCACUGGGCGUAAAGGGUGCGUAGGUGGUGAGGUAAGUCGGAUGUGAAAUCUCGGAGCUCAACUCCGAAAUGGCAUUGGAAACUACCUUGCUCGAGGGUUGGAAGGGGGACUGGAAUGCUUGGUGUAGCAGUGAAAUGCGUAGAUAUCAAGAGGAACACCAGUGGCGAAGGCGAGUCCCUGGACAACUUCUGACGCUGAGGCACGAAAGCUAGGGGAGCAAACAGG